UCUGUCCACUGUUAAUUUAGUGAAUAUCUGGUAUUUGUUUAGGUUGCUCUUGGUCAUCAAAGUAUUCAUUCCUAUGGGUUAUUUUUAAGAAUGACUUGAUGCAAGCUACAAAUAAAAUUUGAGGGGGUGAUGAUCAAUCAGUAAGAACUAGGGAAGAUGAUUUUGCUGGUUACGAAAGUUUUUUGAGGCCUCAAUGUUCUAGAUUUAUAGGUCAGCCCAUUCAAAACCUAUGCUAAACCCUGGAGGCUGAACUCUAAAGUCGAUGAAAGCCAAGUAUGUCAACAAAUACCUCUGCUACGAGUGCAACUCGAAUAUAGAAACUCUCAUCCUUGCUUCUACUGGUUGGAUUCUGAAAAUGGAAAAGAAAUGCUUCUUAAGUGCAAGAAAUGUAUACACUAAUGUAUUUUUGGUCAAAACAGCAAUAAGGUUAUUUAGAAUAAAGUGACCAAAAAAAAAUAAAAAAAAUUGGAGAAAUAUCUCCAAAAUCAAUUGUAGUAAUCUUUUAUUUUGGUAAUUUGGAUUCUAUACCGUAGGAGUUGAGCAAACAAUGUGGUCAAGGAUGCUUUCCAAUGCUUAUAGAUGAACUAAUUGAAUUGACAUUAUACUUCA
Long non-coding RNA from Lycium barbarum (goji berry), 609 nucleotides. RefSeq lists it as uncharacterized. The record is from RefSeq and is a predicted model, not a curated record. Lineage: Eukaryota; Viridiplantae; Streptophyta; Magnoliopsida; Solanales; Solanaceae. The transcript is spliced from 3 exons.